AAUUUGAAAUCUGGCCUCUUUGGGGUCCGAGUUGUAAUUUGUAGAGGAUGUUUCGGGCACCGCUCCGGUUUAAAUUUCUUGGAACAGAAUGUCAAAGAGGGUGAGAACCCCGUCUUGGACCGGCAGUAGGGCCCAUGUGAAACUCCUUCGACGAGUCGAGUUGUUUGGGAAUGCAGCUCAAAAUGGGUGGUAAAUUUCAUCUAAAGCUAAAUAUUGGCCAGAGACCGAUAGCGCACAAGUAGAGUGAUCGAAAGAUGAAAAGCACUUUGAAAAGAGAGUUAAACAGUACGUGAAAUUGUUGAAAGGGAAGCGCUUGCAACCAGACUUGCGCGCGGCGGUUCCCCCUUCCUUUUGGUUGGGUUAUUCCGCCGUGUCCAGGCCAACAUCGGUUCUGGGGGUCGGUUAAAGGCCUGGGGAAUGUAUCUACCCUUCGGGCGUAGACUUAUAGCCCCGGGUGUCAUGCGACCUCCCGGGACCGAGGAACGCGCUUCGGCUCGGAUGUUGGCGUAAUGGUUGUCAGCGACCCGUCUUGAAACACGGACCAAGGAGUCUAACAUCUAUGCGAGUGUUUGGGUGUCAAACCCGGAACGCGGAAUGAAAGUGAACGGAGGUAGGAAGCUUCGGCUGCACUAUCGACCGAUCCUGAUGUCUUCGGAUGGAUUUGAGUAAGAGCAUAGCUGUUGGGACCCGAAAGAUGGUGAACUAUGCCUGAAUAGGGUGAAGCCAGAGGAAACUCUGGUGGAGGCUCGCAGCGGUUCUGACGUGCAAAUCGAUCGUCAAUUUGGGUAUAGGGGCGAAAGACUAAUCGAACCAUUAAAAGU
RNAcentral lists this ribosomal RNA (821 nucleotides) under Exophiala dermatitidis. RNAcentral describes it as "LSU rRNA". It matches the Rfam family "Eukaryotic large subunit ribosomal RNA", at positions 112 to 951 of the family's 3401-position model. Lineage: Eukaryota; Fungi; Ascomycota; Eurotiomycetes; Chaetothyriales; Herpotrichiellaceae. The record is from RNAcentral.